AAACAAGUAAAAUCGUGCGGAUUUUAACAUCCAGGACUCUAAACCGUGUUGUUUUGGUUGCGUCUUCCUUCGAUCUCUCUGAGAUUGGUGGGAAGGCUUUGUUAUCAAAGCGUCAAGUCCAUCGGAGAGAUCAAUAUUUUUUGUUCAUCUUAGUGCCCUUUCCUCUAGCAAGGUAUUUAUCUCUACUUGCUGGUGGAGGGCCGGUAGAACUUACAUAC
RNAcentral lists this small nucleolar RNA (218 nucleotides) under Eremothecium cymbalariae DBVPG#7215. Its description in RNAcentral is "Small nucleolar RNA snR35". It matches the Rfam family "Small nucleolar RNA snR35". Lineage: Eukaryota; Fungi; Ascomycota; Saccharomycetes; Saccharomycetales; Saccharomycetaceae. The record is from Rfam by way of RNAcentral.